CAAAGUGCUUACAGUGCAGGUAGUGAUGUGUGCAUCUACUGCAGUGAGGGCACUUGUAGC
This 60-nucleotide microRNA precursor is filed under the name Mus musculus (house mouse). Its description in RNAcentral is "Mmu-Mir-17-P1a_pre stem-loop". It matches the Rfam family "mir-17 microRNA precursor family", at positions 11 to 70 of the family's 80-position model. From Rfam's summary of the family: This family represents the microRNA (miRNA) precursor mir-17, family, which includes mir-20, mir-91, and mir-103. miRNAs are transcribed as ~70nt precursors (modelled here) and subsequently processed by the Dicer enzyme to give a ~22nt product. The record is from RNAcentral. Lineage: Eukaryota; Metazoa; Chordata; Mammalia; Rodentia; Muridae.